Molecule: long non-coding RNA, 5714 nt
Filed under: Marmota monax (woodchuck)
Lineage: Eukaryota; Metazoa; Chordata; Mammalia; Rodentia; Sciuridae
Source: RNAcentral
GACCCAGUUAAAGUGGAGGUCAUAAAUUUGUAGUGAUAUCUAUUGACCUUAGUCUUAGCUCUUGGAUUUUGCAGUUGGUGCACUGAGGCUUGGGUAUAGAACAGGACUUGUGACUCACAAUCCAGGGUGUCUUGGGAAAAUCAGCAAGAUAUAUUAAUAAAGGCAUUGAAAUGCAGGAAAGAUUUCUUGAAGCCAUAGAGUAUGUGUCAAAGGAAAAAAAAAAAGAAGAGAGCUGGGGAUGUGGCUCAAGUGGUAGCGCGCUCGCCUAGCAUGUUUGAGGCACUGGGUUCGAUUCUCAGCACCACAUAAAAAUAAAAUAAAGAUAUUGUGUCCACCUAAAAAACUAAAAAAUAAAUAUUAAAAAAGAAGAAAAACGAAGAGUUAUGAAGAAAGCAGACAUCAGAAUCAGAUGGUGAGGAAAAGCAGUCUUGUGGAGAAUGUUGUUUAUGAUGAAUCUGUAAAGGGACAGAUGAGUGUGGCUAUAAUUGGCUUUUUUAUUUUAAAUGUGGAACUGUAGGAGGCUGAAGUGUUGUCAAAGUACAGGCCAUUAAAGUCAAAGAAGUAAAAAAGCUUUCAGGAAACAAUGUCUAAUGAAUCCUUUAUGUCUCCACCCAGCCUCUACGUCCUCAAGGAAUGAAAAUGAGUGACUAGGAGUCUUAGCGUCAAGGAGGGAAAGUGUGAUAUAGUUGGAAGUCAUAAACAAGAAGUAGCACAUCAGCAACACCCUUUCUAAUAAGGAGCUGAAAACUCAAUUUGUGUUCUGUUUUGAUUCAGAUUGCAAGAAUUACUUCAGAUCACUGUAAUUUUUUGAGGCUAUUUAACAUGUGAACUUUGUAUUUAUUUUAAAAUACAUUCAACUUACUUACAUGCUCUUCCUUCUUGACCCUCUUUCCGCCACUGUGUGUUUUGCUUGUUUUAUGUAGCUGCAAGUUGUGUAUCUUGGCUUCUCUCUUGCUUGAAGCUCAGUAUCUGCUCCCUAAACCCAACCAUUCAUAAUUUUCUUCCAGACUAGUCAAACCAGCCUACCAGUAGAAUCUUCUGUAGUUUCUGUCAAGCUUACUCUUGCCCUCAUAUAUUUUUAUUUAUUUCCAAAUUUAUCUUAGUAAAUCAGAGUAGUUAGUAUUGCAUUCCCUAUUUUAAAGACUGUGUAGGAUGAACCAUGUUUUAGUAAGUGAAAUCCACACCCCUUAGCCAAGUCCUCUGUUUUUCUUACCAUGCAUCACAAAUUUUUGUUUAUGUCUCUUACUAUAUCUUUACACAGACACUGUAUCAGUGGUACUCAAAUGUAGCCCAUGAUCAGAACACCUAAACUUCUAGAGAUUGCAUCCUAGGUUGCACUUAGUGAUUGAAUGAAAACUUUGCAUAUAGGACACCCAAUCAGAUUUUUUUUUUUUUUUUUGGUGAAUGAGCAGCUUUGUAUUCUACAUGAUGUAUUGUCUCACUGCAGGUCUAAAAGCAAUUGGCCAACUGACAAUGAACUGAAACCUCUAAAACUGUGAACCAAAAUAAACCUUUCUCCUGACAAUUAUCUCAGGUAUUUUGUCACAGUGGGAGGAAGCUGACUAGCUCACACAGUCCUAAAUGUUUCAGUAUGAAACAGACAUCAUAUGCUUAUCAUAUAUAUUACUUAUGUUCUUUUAUUUAUUUAAUCUCUAAAAAUUUCUAUAGAAUAGAAAUAAAUGAUGUUGAGAAAUGUGUCAUAGAUUAUACACAUCUGGAAGUUACAAUGCCAGGAUUUAACCAAAGCUUCCAAAUCUGAAUUUUCAUUAAGAGAAUAAGAUACUGUCUUGGUAUCCACAUCAAGUAUCCAAUUCAAACUGGAUACAUUGAUUUUGUACCAUCUUUCUUGCAACAUAAGUUCUUGAUCUUCUCUGAUGGUAAUUGGUCCUUGUUCAAAUUUGCACCUGUGAUAUCUGACCUAGUUUCAGCUGUGUUUUGUUUUAGAUUGGCUUCUCUGUCACUAAAAUCUACAAUGAGGAAAAGAAUUACUGAAUCUCAAAUUUUUCAGUCCAUAGUGGUUGAAUUAAGAUUAAUUUGAUUCAGCAAACAUAUAGAUCUUUUAGGUAUACAAGGUUUUACAAAAAUAGAACAAUUAAAUAACACUUUACCAGAGAUAUCAAGGGCUCCAAAGAAGGGUCCUGAGGAAGGGAAAGGGAACCCAGAGAACAGAUGAUUCAGUGUCUCAAUUUAUAAGGCAUGAAAGGUAAAUGAAAAUGAUCGUUAUCCAUUUGUAAAGGUUGAAAAGACUAUUUCCCCCUUACCUUUUUUCUUAGAUACAUAAUGAAACUAAGUUCUUCCUUUAAAUUUUGGAGUAGAGAUGUAUUCCUUCCGCUUUUAAGCUUUGUCUUCAUGUGCCCUGAAUAGGGACUUCUUGGGAGCAUUUACUCAAUUCUGGGAUUUAUCUUACUUGUGUCUUUUUUAUCUUUAACUGCAAAAAUUCUUAGACUUCUAUAAAUUCCUAAUGGUAAUCACAAUGCUAAUUUCCUAGCACAACCUUAGAAAGAAAUUUCCAGUCAUGUUACGCUAAGGUUUCUUUUCAUAUUUACAUAAAUAUGGCAUAUUUUUUUCUGAAAUCCUGAAUAAAGCAAGAAGAUGUUUCUGGGAAGCAAUAAUUGCAUCUUACAUGUUCUCCUUGUUGUUGUUUUCUGCAUACUUUUUGCACAGCACUUUUCCAUUAGCACAUUAUAUGCAAAACAAGCUAAUGAGAUACAGAGAGAUGGUACUUUAAUUCCCACAUACAAAUGCUGAAACUGAUGUACAGAGAUGUCCAUAGGUUUGUCCCAGUAGGAUACUGUUGGGGGGAAGUCUGAAGCAAUACUGUUCUCCUGCCAUUUUGCCCAUUAGUCCUUAUUACAUUUGACAGACAUUUUGGACAUGACUGAAUGCUCAGGAGAACUGCUCAUCUCCCCCGAGAACUAAAAAAGAAGCAAAGAAGCUGACUAGCCUCCCUGUGCACCCCCUGCCAAUGUCUUAAACCACCCUACAAAGAAAAAAAUAAAACUCAGUGUAGUCUGGGACUUUAUUAUAAUGAUUCUGAAAGCCUAGUUUUAUCAUCAUAGAAAAUGACAAAGAAACUUUAUUUAGAUUGAAACGAAGAGAAUAAUAUUAAAUGGAAAAGGCUGGAAUAAAAUAAUAUUUUCAUUUUGUCUUUCAAAUCAAGAUCUAGCAGACUAAUAGCAUUUUAGUGUUGAUGGGUUUUAAGUAAUUUACUGAGUAGUGCACUGUUAUUUUAGGAGCUCUCAUGAAUCAUAGGAAAUAAAUGAAUUUGCUGGUGACUUCACAGCAGACUGCAGUUGAUCAUUUUUUACUCGUUAAAUCUCCUAAGUGAUAAUGUGGAAAAAUAUCAGACUUGUGAAAAUUGCAAUAAAGUUGAAGUGGCUAAUUUUGUUACAGCCCAGCAUAUGUUUGUUUCCAAGUGUUGUAUACAAUUAGAGGGUAUUUAAUGAAGAGAAAAUGUAGCUGUGUAUUUAUCUCUUUACUCUGAAUGUUCCUUCAUUUCCUCUUUUGUAAUCUUAUAGCACUUUAUACAAUCUUGAGUCACUUUGUGACACAUUACAUUGUUGUAUAGUUGAUAGCUCUUUCUAAACUUUUGCUGAGUACAAGCUCUUUUGGGAACAUUUGUCCAGGUUGGACAUGCGACAAAUGACUCUUAUUCUCCCUAUUAUACCUAGCUUAGUGUUAGAUUAUGUUUGUCAGUUUUCCAUGUCUGUAAGAACUUCUAAAGAGAGAAGGUCUACUUUGGAGGGCAGUUUUGGAGGUUACAGUCUAUGACCAGUUGGCUCUCCCAUUUUUGUGGCUUGUAAUGAGGUCCCACAUCAUGAAGGGAGCAUGAGGCAGAGCAAAACUGUUUACAUCAUGACUAGGAAUGAAACGUGGAGGAGGGGAUAAGUUCCAAUGUCCCUUUCAAGAGCAUUCUCCCAUUGAUUUGGAGAUGUCUCCUUACAGCUGACAUCUUAGAGGUUCUACUACCUAGCAAUGUGCCACGUUGGAGACCCAGUCUAUAACACAUGGCCCUUAAGUCAGACUCUCGCACUGUUAAAAACCUACUUGAAUAUUUAAAAUGUUAUUUGAAAUAAUGGACAAUAAAAACUUUAUCAAAAUCCUUUUCUUUAGGAUAUGGAGGUAGAAUUUUUAUACAAGAGGCAGAAUAUUGCAAGCAUAAAUUUUGCAAAAUUACAGGAUAUAAUUAACAGUUGUGUGUGACCAUCUAGCCUCCUUCUGUAGGUUAGAGACAGCUUGUAAAACAGUUUUUCUUGAAUAUAUAAAAUAUAUGUUUUAUGUUGUAGUUUAGUAAUUGUCAGUAAAAUUUUUCUUUUAAACCUUCCUUAUAAGUUUUAAAUAUGUUUAAUUGAUUUUUUUUUUCUUCUCUAGGGCUUAGAGAUUGAAUCAUGGGAUGUUUUGCCAAUAAACUACAUCCCCAGACCUUUUUGAUUAUUAUAUUCUGAGAUAGGUUCUUGCUAAAUUGCUAAGGCUGGCCUCAAACUUACAAUUCUUCUGUUUCUGCCUCCUUAGUGGCUGGGAUUAUAGGCAUUUAAUGAGCAUUAUUAAAGCUAACUUGAGAUACAUGAUGCAAUUGAGGUGGAUGUGGGGUUCAAGGACAGCUUUAUAAUGUCCCAGAGAAUUAUAGAAAUGGAGAGAAUUCUACAAUAAAAAUGUGUGACAGUGCACAAGUCUUGGUAUUUUUUUUUUAAAUUUUAAUAUUUUAUCAAUUGAUCUUAUUUUUUUAGUAUCAAAGAUAUUUAUCUGAAAAAUCAGCAUAAAAAUGCCAAUGCACUUAUUCAUACUUUACCAGCCAAUGCCCAAGGUAUAAGUUUAAAUAUAAAAGAAAUAAUCUUUGAAAUUAUUUCAGCACAGGAAAACUUAAUGUUUGUCAAAAUGGAGAAUUUGCAAACGUUCAACAAGAAGACUCACAGAUCUCCAUGAGAGAUAUGGCAAGAAAUAAAAGAUGAGGUUCACUUAAUUCACAGUUUUCUGCAGGCUUGCCUUGGAUGAGGAAAAGCAUCCCAUGUGUCAUUAUCUUGCCUGGCUUAGAAUUUAGUUUCACUAUUAGAGAAAAGACCAUAUCUACCAAUGACACUAAGGCUGCUUUCCCUCUUGUGGGAGCUAUGGUAACAAUAGCACAUGCCUUUUGCAAUCAUUCUGAGUGGCAAGGCAAGGACACUCUCUACUCUGAUGCUGCCUCAAAAUGUUCUCCCACAUUCUUCUAGCUCCAGAUCAAUUUGAAGUCCCUGAUCACACAUUGUGUUGUGAUUAGUAUUGUAUCUGACACGUGGAGACGAAGCCAUAAUAUCAAGUGCUGAAUAUGUAUUCUGAAAACACAAGCCAAAGAAAGUAAGAUUUACUUUUUAUUAAAGUAGAAGCUAUUGAAUCAAAUUUACACUUGUCAAAAGAUUCUAAAUGGUCUUUAACAAUGUAGAAAAAGAGCUUUACAACUAUAAGAGAAGUCAUUUAGUAGCUGGAAAGGUCAGAAAUAUCAGCCAAGGCCAAAAGAAUUGGGAGAAUUGCAUUUUAUUUUUGCUUUUCCUGAAAGCAAUACCCAGAAGGGAGCUGUAUUUCAUAUGUCUCUUAGACGAGUUGAUAUAAUCUGGGAGUUGAUAUUAAUUUCCUUGUUUGCUGAAAUCUACUGGACAAACGAUUUUUUUUUCUGUUUAAAUCUUCAAGAAGUGAUCUUAAUCCUUUGUGUGUUUAUGAAUACAUAAUCUUGGUUGGGUUUG